AUACGGAGGAUCCGAGCGUUAUCCGGAUUUAUUGGGUUUAAAGGGUGCGCAGGCGGCCAUUUAAGUCAGCGGUUAAAUCGUGGGGCUCAACCCCAUUCUGCCGUUGAUACUGGGUGGCUUGAUUGCGGUCGAGGUCGGCGGAAUUCGUUGUGUAGCGGUGAAAUGCAUAGAUAUGACGAAGAACACCGAUUGCGUAGGCAGCUGACCAGACCGCAAAUGACGCUCAUGCACGAAAGUGCGGGGAUCGAACAGGAUUAGAUACCCUGGUAGUCCGCACAGUAAACGAUGAAUACUUGUUUUCGGCGAUAUAAUGUCGGAGGCAAAGCGAAAGCGAUAAGUAUUCCACCUGGGGAGUACGCCGGCAACGGUGAAACUCAAAUGAAUUGGCGG
This 390-nucleotide ribosomal RNA is filed under the name uncultured bacterium. Its description in RNAcentral is "partial 16S ribosomal RNA". It matches the Rfam family "Bacterial small subunit ribosomal RNA", at positions 523 to 916 of the family's 1533-position model. The record is from RNAcentral.